AGAAAAAUAGAAUUUGCAGCAAAUGUGAAGUAUUUAUAUAUUUGUUUUUAGUGAAGCACUAUUUGUUUGAUAAAUAUAGUUUAUCUUGUUUUAAAACGAAUUAUUGAUUAAAUAUAUCUAUUUUAAUUAAUAUUUCAACGUUACGUCUUGAACUUGAAAUAAAAGCAGUUUUAUAAGAAGAAAACAUGUUUCCGGCUUAUUCAUAUUUAUCAGCUUAUGAUAGACAUAAAAAACUUAUUAAUGAUUAUUUUACAUUAUAUGGAGGUUCGGUAUCAUCUUUAGAACGAGACACCUCUUGACGUUUCGGCCUGUGUUUCGAGGUCCCGAGACAAGACAGACUAUGAUGUCAUUAAAGAAAACCAUAGAUUUUUAUGGGAUCAAGAUAAAGAUGAACCAAAUACAUGGGGUGCUCGUUUGGCAAAGAAAUAUUACGAUAAAUUGUUUAAAGAAUAUUGUAUAGCAGAUUUAACAUAUUAUAAGCAAAACAAGGUUGCCUUAAGAUGGAGAACAGAAAAAGAAGUUAUCAUUGGUAAAGGACAAUUUGAAUGUGGAAAUAAAAAAUGUAAAAAUAAGGAACAACUUAAAUCUUGGGAAGUAAAUUUUGGUUAUAUAGAGCAUGGUCAAAAAAAGAACGCUCUUGUCAAAUUAAGAUUGUGUCCUGAAUGCUCCAUGAAAUUAAAUUAUAGAUCC
RNAcentral lists this unclassified non-coding RNA (690 nucleotides) under Apis florea (little honeybee). RNAcentral's name for it is "protein FRA10AC1, transcript variant X1". The record is from RNAcentral. Lineage: Eukaryota; Metazoa; Arthropoda; Insecta; Hymenoptera; Apidae.